This 301-nucleotide ribosomal RNA is filed under the name uncultured bacterium. RNAcentral describes it as "partial 16S ribosomal RNA". It matches the Rfam family "Bacterial small subunit ribosomal RNA", at positions 509 to 807 of the family's 1533-position model. The record is from RNAcentral.
CAGCCGCCACGGUAAUACGGAGGGUGCAAGCGUUAAUCGGAAUUACUGGGCGUAAAGCGUGCGUAGGCGGCUUCUUAAGUCGGAUGUGAAAUCCCUGAGCUUAACUUAGGAAUUGCAUUCGAUACUGGGAAGCUAGAGUAUGGGAGAGCAUGGUAGAAUUCCAGGUGUAGCGGUGAAAUGCGUAGAGAUCUGGAGGAAUACCGAUGGCGAAGGCAGCCAUCUGGCCUAAUACUGACGCUGAGGUACGAAAGCAUGGGGAGCAAACAGGAUUAGAUACCCCCGUAGUCCCUGUCUCUUAUAC